UACGGGGGGGGCAAGCGUUGUUCGGAAUUACUGGGCGUAAAGGGCUCGUAGGUGGCCAACUAAGUCGGACGUGAAAUCCCUCGGCUUAACCGGGGAACUGCGUCCGAUACUGGUUGGCUUGAGUUUGGGAGAGGGAUGCGGAAUUCCAGGUGUAGCGGUGAAAUGCUUAGAUAUGACAUAGAACACCAAUUGCGAAGGCAGCUUACUACACAGUUAUUGACGCUGAGGCACGAAAGCGUGGGGAUCAAACAGG
This 253-nucleotide ribosomal RNA is filed under the name uncultured bacterium. RNAcentral describes it as "partial 16S ribosomal RNA". It matches the Rfam family "Bacterial small subunit ribosomal RNA", at positions 524 to 776 of the family's 1533-position model. The record is from RNAcentral.